UGGAAGUAGAACACUUGUGGGUGAUAGUAUGAUCAAGUGAAGACCUUUCCCAUGAAUAGCACACAGCGACUUCUCCAAGGACUUUUACUUCAGAUCUGCAUGUAAAUGUUCCCCCACUCAUCUUAAUCACACCAGGCAGCUAAUUAAUUGGAAGCUAGCUUGGUGACCAAGCCCAGAAUGGUGGAAGUGACUCAAUGACAUGGAAACAUGGUAAGUCCCUG
Long non-coding RNA from Phascolarctos cinereus (koala), 221 nucleotides. RefSeq lists it as uncharacterized. Lineage: Eukaryota; Metazoa; Chordata; Mammalia; Diprotodontia; Phascolarctidae. The record is from RefSeq and is a predicted model, not a curated record.